Molecule: ribosomal RNA, 507 nt
Filed under: uncultured bacterium
Lineage: Bacteria
Description: bacterial SSU rRNA
Rfam family: Bacterial small subunit ribosomal RNA
Source: RNAcentral
CUGGCUCAGGAUGAACGCUAGCUACAGGCUUAACACAUGCAAGUCGAGGGGCAUCAUGAUCAAAGUUGCUUUGAUUGAUGGCGACCGGCGCACGGGUGAGUAACGCGUAUCCAACCUUCCCCCCAGUAGGGCAUAGCCCGGCGAAAGUCGGAUUAAUACCCUAUGUUUUCCAAUGAGGACAUCUGAGCUGGAACAAAGAUUUAUCGCUGGGGGAUGGGGAUGCGUCCGAUUAGGUUGUUGGCGGGGUAACGGCCCACCAAGCCCGCGAUCGGUAGGGUUCUGAGAGGAAGGUCCCCCACACUGGUACUGAGACACGGACCAGACUCCUACGGGAGGCAGCAGUGAGGAAUAUUGGUCAAUGGGCGUAAGCCUGAACCAGCCAAGUAGCGUGCAGGACGACGGCCUAUGGGUUGUAAACUGCUUUUAUGCGGGGAUAAAGUGAGGUAUGUAUACCUUUUUGUAGGUACCGCAUGAAUAAGGACCGGCUAAUUCCGUGCCAGCCGCUGC